RNAcentral lists this long non-coding RNA (1047 nucleotides) under Phasianus colchicus (ring-necked pheasant). Its description in RNAcentral is "lncRNA (ENSPCLG00000018874.1)". The record is from RNAcentral. Lineage: Eukaryota; Metazoa; Chordata; Aves; Galliformes; Phasianidae.
UCCAAUGUUUAUUCCGGCGCGGCGAUUACUGUCGUUUCUGUUUCUCGUUGUAUUCUCGGAUAGGUUAUUAAAAGCUUUGUGUUUGUGUUUUGCUACGUCCCUCUGCCUGCAGUCAUUUGUGCUGUGUCACAGCCCCCCAGCUCCCCACGCCCACCUCCGGGGCAGGAUGGGGCACCACAGAUGGCCACGGUGUCCCUCAGCUGCCACCAGCAGCCCCAGCCCUCCUCUCUCCCUGCAGUCCUUUGUGCAGCGGGAUGCAGAGGGCGUUUCACACAGCUCGCCUGCUCUGCCCAGUGCUGUGAAUUGUCGUGGGGAUGGGCAGCAGGCAGGGCACGGGCGGAUGGAGGGGAAUCGCAUCGGCUCACCGUGGCCAGCAGAGACUCCGGCAGCGGCAGCAGGGGCAGUUCCCAUGGAGGGGGGAAGCAGGGGCGGCUGGGCCUGCCAUGCAGACGGACAGACAGGCAUCAAGACGCCUCCCACGUCACGGCUCUUCUUGCCCCCACACCGUUUGGCUCCUGGCAGUUUUGUCUGCAGACGGGGACCCAGCCAAGUCUGUACACCCAGAGCAGGAUUUUCCAGCUGGCGGCCGCUCACGAGUGCUGUCCCCCAGGGCUGGGGACUGGGGCCACUCCUACUGAACACCUUUAUCAAUGAACUUGAGCAGGGCACUGAGUGCACCCUCAGUGCGUUCACAGACGGCCCUGAGUUCAGAGGGAGCGCUGCUCUGCCAACCUGAGCCGUUCUGUGCUUCUAAGCUUCCACGCUCGCUGCCAUAUCCAUUCCAAGUCCAUCCCGUAUGCAGAGCCCAGCCCAUAUAUAUCCCAUUUCCCGAUAUCCCAUCCCGUAUCCAUCCCAUAUCCAUAUUCCCGCACCCCACAUCCCAAUGCCACAUCCAACAUCCCAACUGCACAUUCCAACCUCACAUCCAACAUCCCAACUCCAUAUCCCAAACCCAUGUCCUAUAUCCCCCAUCCGAACCCCACAUCCUAUAUCCCACAUCCCAAUCCCAAUUCCAAAUCUCAUUCCCCAUCCCUCAUCCCAACCCCN